UGGGGAAUAUUCCGCAAUGGGGGAAACCCUGACGGAGCAAUGCCGCGUGAGGGAAGAAGGCCUUCGGGUUGUAAACCUUUGUUUUAUGGGAAGAUAGUGACGGUACCAUAAGAGGAAGCCCCGGCUAACUACGUGCCAGCAGCCGCGGUAAUACGUAGGGGGCAAGCGUUGUCCGGAAUUACUGGGCGUAAAGGGCGUGUAGGCGGUUUUUUAAGUUAGGAGUGAAAACUCGAGGCUUAACCUCGAGAGUGCUUCUAAAACUGGGAGACUUGAGUGCAGGAGAGGAAGGUAGUAUUCCUGGUGUAGCGGUGAAAUGCGUAGAUAUCAGGAGGAAUACUCGUGGCGAAGGCGGCCUUCUGGCCUGUAACUGACGCUGAGGCGCGAAAGCGUGGGGAGCAAACAGGAUUAGAUACCCUGGUAGUCCACGCCGUAAACGAUGAGUGCUAAGUGUUGGAGGUAUCGACCCCUUCAGUGCUGCAGUUAACGCAUUAAGCACUCCGCCUGGGGAGUACGGUCGCAAGACUGA
RNAcentral lists this ribosomal RNA (526 nucleotides) under uncultured bacterium. RNAcentral describes it as "bacterial SSU rRNA". It matches the Rfam family "Bacterial small subunit ribosomal RNA", at positions 355 to 897 of the family's 1533-position model. The record is from RNAcentral.